Molecule: unclassified non-coding RNA, 240 nt
Filed under: soil metagenome
Description: partial contains 5.8S ribosomal RNA, internal transcribed spacer 2, and large subunit ribosomal RNA
Source: RNAcentral
AACGCACGAGACCUGCGGACCUGCGGAAGGAUCAUUACAAAAGAUUGGUAUGCCUCGCGCAUGUCCGCUCUUUAAACCCACACCUGAGUACCUUUCCUGUUGCUUCCGCGGAGCGGCUGCCCUCCCCCUCACAGGGAGAGCGCGCCGCCGAUGCGGGGUGAAACACCCCCUCAUCGGAGAGUCUCCGCGGGAGGUACACACAAAACCCUUUUGCAUUGCCAUGUCGUCUGUCUGAUACUG